GCUCCCAUGGCGUAGUGGUCACUGUGCUUGCCUUGCAUGCGGGAGACCCGGGUUCAAUUCCCGGUGGGGUCA
RNAcentral lists this transfer RNA (72 nucleotides) under Diaphorina citri (Asian citrus psyllid). It matches the Rfam family "tRNA". Rfam says of the family: Transfer RNA (tRNA) molecules are approximately 80 nucleotides in length. Their secondary structure includes four short double-helical elements and three loops (D, anti-codon, and T loops). The record is from Rfam by way of RNAcentral. Lineage: Eukaryota; Metazoa; Arthropoda; Insecta; Hemiptera; Psyllidae.